This 375-nucleotide long non-coding RNA is filed under the name Equus asinus (donkey). RNAcentral's name for it is "lncRNA (ENSEASG00005030156.1)". The record is from RNAcentral. Lineage: Eukaryota; Metazoa; Chordata; Mammalia; Perissodactyla; Equidae.
GCAGAGUGUGGUGUCCUAGACACCAGAGCAGAAAGCAUUUCAAGGAAGAAGGCAUUCACUGUACCAAAUGCUGCUAACAAAUCAAAUAAGGAACCAGAAGCUCAGAGAGAGCAAGUAAUUUGAUUAAUGCACAAAGCUGGUUCUUAUGUUAGAAAUACAUACUGAAGUAUUUAUGGAUGAAAGUCUAUGAUGUAUAAGGUUUGUUGUAAAUACUCCAGCAAAAACAACAACAAAGGAAUAGUGAGUGAGGAAGAGAUGAAACAAGAGCAGCAAAAAGCUGGUAAUUGCUGAAGCUGGUUGAUGGGUACAUGAAAAUUCACUGUACUGUUCUCUUUUAUGUACAUUUGAAAAUGCCAUGAUAAAAAAUAAAAAUCC